GCGGACGUGGUGAAACUGGUACACACGUAGGACUUAGGAUCCUAUGCCGUAAGGCUUGUGGGUUCGAGUCCCACCGUCCGCACCA
Molecule: transfer RNA, 85 nt
Filed under: Candidatus Nealsonbacteria bacterium CG_4_10_14_0_2_um_filter_40_15
Lineage: Bacteria; Candidatus Nealsoniibacteriota
Also listed under: 1 other name
Description: tRNA-Leu
Rfam family: tRNA
About the family: Transfer RNA (tRNA) molecules are approximately 80 nucleotides in length. Their secondary structure includes four short double-helical elements and three loops (D, anti-codon, and T loops).
Source: RNAcentral